This is a long non-coding RNA of Oreochromis aureus, 879 nucleotides long. NCBI's taxonomy places the organism in Eukaryota, Metazoa, Chordata, Actinopteri, Cichliformes, Cichlidae. The record is from Ensembl.
GGGUGAGAGAGCGCUUUUUUGUUGUUGUUGUUGUUGUGCUAAGCUAAUAGGCAGAGUGCUACAUGUAUAGCCCUAAAGAAUGUAGCAUGAUGGGCAAUGUAGUCCGUGCUGCAGCGAGAAUGGACUACCGUACCCGUUAUGUGUCUGUGAGCGAGGGAGGGAGAAAAAGGAAAAGUCAGAGUUGUCACGGAGCAAAAACGGGAGCUGGAAGCAUGUAAAUAUAAUAAUAACCACUGCAGCCAAGAAGAGUGCCUGACCAGCCCAUUUACCAGUAGUUUCCAAUCAUGUGGAGCAGCGCUGAUUUAACACCACGGGUGUGAUGAUUGGUGUUUAGCAGUCUCGCAGACGCUGUAUGAGGAUACAAACAGACGGAUGGCUGGGAUGAAUCGGGGUGUCCGGAGCUUUUACAUCACCUCAUCAUAAGCUCAUUACGGGCUCCCGCCCUUGGCCCACACACCUGUGAUCCUCCACACCCGAAGCUCGUUGGCUGACGACUUUCCAGUGACUAUUUAAGAUGGCGUCUCAGUGUUUUUCUUUGCUGGACCAUUAUAGUCUGCUAUCUUUCUGAAGCCUUCCCCCGUGUGUUCUGGAUUGUCGCGAGUUUUUCGGAGUGGACAUUGUGUGGAUUGUUCAUUGUGGGACCUGUGUGGAGCGGGCAUGGAGUGUCUUGUCUUCUUCCCCUGCCCGCAGAGGGCAGGAGAAGAAGGGAGCUCAUUAUGGGCCCCUGCCCUUGACCUACCUACACACCUGUGAUUACAGUUCACCUGGUGUUUUUGUGUCUAAUAGACUUUGUACACAGAUUUCCUGAGUCCGCGUGUGAACCCAUUCUGUCAGCCCCACAAGCUGUAUAAUGUUAUAAUAUUUAUUAAAGCAUAUAUG